CCUACGGGAGGCAGCAGUGAGGAAUAUUGGUCAAUGGACGAGAGUCUGAACCAGCCAAGUAGCGUGAAGGAUGACUGCCCUAUGGGUUGUAAACUUCUUUUAUAUGGGAAUAAAACGUUCCACGUGUGGGAUUUUGUAUGUACCAUAUGAAUAAGGAUCGGCUAACUCCGUGCCAGCAGCCGCGGUAAUACGGAGGAUCCGAGCGUUAUCCGGAUUUAUUGGGUUUAAAGGGAGCGUAGGUGGAUUGUUAAGUCAGUUGUGAAAGUUUGCGGCUCAACCGUAAAAUUGCAGUUGAAACUGGCAGUCUUGAGUAGAGUAGAGGUGGGCGGAAUGCGUGGUGUAGCGGUGAAAUGCUUAGAUAUCGCGAAGAACUCCGAUUGCGAAGGCAGUUCACUGGACGGCAACUGACACUGAGGCUCGAAAGUGUGGGUAUCAAACAGGAUUAGAUACCCGAGUAGUC
RNAcentral lists this ribosomal RNA (460 nucleotides) under uncultured bacterium. RNAcentral's name for it is "partial 16S ribosomal RNA". It matches the Rfam family "Bacterial small subunit ribosomal RNA", at positions 338 to 795 of the family's 1533-position model. The record is from RNAcentral.